This 308-nucleotide long non-coding RNA is filed under the name Linum usitatissimum (flax). Its description in RNAcentral is "long non-coding RNA (LUSI_LNC006745)". Lineage: Eukaryota; Viridiplantae; Streptophyta; Magnoliopsida; Malpighiales; Linaceae. The record is from RNAcentral.
GAUAGAUCUCGGCAAAACAACACUUUAUGAUUCGCCUGCGAAUUCGGUCUCAUCUUGUCCCUCAUGCACAUCUCUUGUACGGCCAUAAUUAUGGGUGAACUUUGAUGCUCCUCGUCGAUGGUGUCUAGCCAUGUAGAAACAGGGGUAGUAAUCCCACCAACCUCCAAUUGGACGAGAGAGCAUCAACAACUUUGUUCGUUUUUUCUUCCAUGAAUUUUAUAGUCAAAUCGUACCCCAAGUGCUUAGUGAUGCAUUUUUCUUGCAUUGUUGCCGUAGAUUUCUAUUAUAACAAAUGCUUUAAACUUUGU